This 397-nucleotide ribosomal RNA is filed under the name uncultured bacterium. RNAcentral describes it as "partial 16S ribosomal RNA". It matches the Rfam family "Bacterial small subunit ribosomal RNA", at positions 523 to 918 of the family's 1533-position model. The record is from RNAcentral.
AUACGUAGGGGGCGAGCGUUGUCCGGAAUGACUGGGCGUAAAGGGCGCGUAGGCGGCCCGGUAAGUCUGGAGUGAAAGUCCUGUUUUUAAGAUGGGAAUUGCUUUGGAUACUGUCGGGCUUGAGUGCAGGAGAGGUAAGUGGAAUUCCUCGUGUAGCGGUGAAAUGCGUAGAGAUUGGGAGGAACACCAGUGGCGAAGGCGACUUACUGGACUGUAACUGACGCUGAGGCGCGAAAGUGUGGGGAGCAAACAGGAUUAGAUACCCUGGUAGUCCACACUGUAAACGAUGAAUGCUAGGUGUAGGGGGUAUCGACCCCUUCUGUGCCGCAGUCAACACAAUAAGCAUUCCGCCUGGGGAGUACGGCCGCAAGGUUGAAACUUAAAGGAAUUGACGGGG